UACCUGGCGGAUGUUUACACACUGCAGUCGAACGGCAGCACGGACUUCGGUCUGGUGGCGAGUGGCGAACGGGUGAGUAAUACAUCGGAACGUGCCCAGUCGUGGGGGAUAACGUAGCGAAAGCUACGCUAAUACCGCAUACGAUCUAAGGAUGAAAGCGGGGGAUCGCAAGACCUCGCGCGAUUGGAGCGGCCGAUGGCAGAUUAGGUAGUUGGUAGGGUAAAGGCCUACCAAGCCGACGAUCUGUAGCUGGUCUGAGAGGACGACCAGCCACACUGGGACUGAGACACGGCCCAGACUCCUACGGGAGGCAGCAGUGGGGAAUUUUUGGACAAUGGGCGAAAGCCUGAUCCAGCCAUUCCGCGUGCAGGAUGAAGGCCCUCGGGUUGUAAACUGCUUUUGUACGGAACGAAAAGGUCCUGGUUAAUACCUGGGGCUCAUGACGGUACCGUAAGAAUAAGCACCGGCUAACUACGUGCCAGCAGCCGCGGUAAUACGUAGGGUGCAAGCGUUAAUCGGAAUUACUGGGCGUAAAGCGUGCGCAGGCGGUGAUGUAAGACAGAGGU
This 566-nucleotide ribosomal RNA is filed under the name uncultured Acidovorax sp. Its description in RNAcentral is "bacterial SSU rRNA". It matches the Rfam family "Bacterial small subunit ribosomal RNA", at positions 32 to 595 of the family's 1533-position model. Lineage: Bacteria; Pseudomonadati; Pseudomonadota; Betaproteobacteria; Burkholderiales; Comamonadaceae. The record is from RNAcentral.